RNAcentral lists this unclassified non-coding RNA (5135 nucleotides) under Leishmania donovani. RNAcentral's name for it is "gene:LdHU3.23.1250(CDS-product:hypothetical_prote in_conserved)". Lineage: Eukaryota; Euglenozoa; Kinetoplastea; Trypanosomatida; Trypanosomatidae. The record is from RNAcentral.
AGAAAGGAGGCGGAUGAAGGUUUCCUUUUAUGCUUAAGAAGGGCUUCAGUGGGAUACCAUUCAAUGCUGAAGCAUACGUAUCGCGUCUCAGUGGUCUUCACCCAAGGCUUCCCGGCUCUGCAGCGUUUCGCUCAACAGAAGUUUUUGCCGUCGAAUCCUCUGUCGUCCUCCUGUCUGUGGCUGGACGAGGAAGACUUCCUUGCCGUAAAAACGAGAGCGUCUCUCUACAAUGUGCCGAACCCCCUUCGCAUUGAUCCCUACGCCCAUCACCCACUCCUGUCCCGCUACGCCCCUGAGCAGGCGAGGAGGGAGGCUGCAGUGCAACGGAAGGGCAGGCGGAAGGCCAAAGACGCGGCCGCGGCAAGACCGGUGGCAGCGCACGGCGCAGGCCCGCAAGCGACAAACGCUGCUGACGCCGAGGCUCCUGAUCAUCUGCUCACCACAGCGGAGCAUGAGGCGGUCGGACACGGCGCACCCUCCGGACCCGUGCUGACGGGCGGCAAUUUCGGUGCCGGCACUCAACACAGCCUGGAGGAGGCGACGCUGCCGCGCCGCUGUCGAGGGAGACCGCCGGGGAGUGCAGCCGCAGCUGCGCAGCUGGCAAUGCAGGCGCAGGUAGCGGAACAUGCACCGCACUACCAGGUCCCCAUCUGCACCCUUACCUUGACAAAGCCGCUUUACCUCUUCAACAUGGAUCAGAUGUACUUGGCGGAAGAAGGCACUGCGAUGUCUUCACUGACUGCUCAUUGUCUCGGUAGAGAAAUGAUGGACGAAUACGAUAGCCAGCGCGACAAGGCUCUUACUACGUGGCCGCCGCGUAAAUGGAGGUUUGCCGGCGGUGACGGGCAGCUGGCACUUGCAGUGAACCCACAGCAACCUUGGGAUGAGCCGACUCCCAUGUUCGAUGAAGCGGCUUCGCUCACGUUUUUUCGGGAGCAUCGCACCGCCGAAGGUGUUCAGAAGCUGCAGGGGCGUUUUCCAAACUCUACCAGCGAUCAUCUCUGCCCUCAAGGGCGCCGGCAUAUGUACUCGAUUAGCACGCGCCGUCCGUACUCUUUACCGCGCCAGCACACCCUCAACAUUCUUGCCCAUCGACAUGGGUAUCGCUCGCAGUGGUGGGGCACCCUAAAACAGUGGUCGAACAUCGGCGUCUUACCGAAACCUGGACAGACCGAACACAUCUUGCCGAUUUCAGUUCCGUCCAAAAUUGUGCACAUAUCGCUCAUCGAGGAUGCCGCGACAGUGAUGCAGAGGUGCAUUAUUCUCGCGAAGCGUUGCAAACUCAUAUAUAUGUUCGCUGCCGAGGCCCCAGUCAGCCUCCCGGAGAGCGGCGGCGACGCCGUGGGAGCGCAUGCGCUGACCCAUGCGCGGCAGCAGACGAGCUUUCUAUCCCACCUGGGCGAUGCAAGGCACUACGGCAGUGAACCAGGUGGGUUUUCGAGGAUUCUCACGAGCGCGCUGGAAGACAUGCGAGUCAAGAAGUGGUCGCUGCCUGUGUACUUCACGUUGCGACAGCUCCGCAUGUUGAAACUGAAGCUCCGCCCCGAUGCAGUAGGGCUUCUGCCAACGGCAGCUGGGGCGGCCGAGGUGCACUACAUCCGUGACGGUGCUGAGGCUGCUGGGAUCUGGGAUGGGGAGGUAAGCGCGGCUGACGGAGAAGCGGCAAAAGACGCGACUGCACCGACGGCUACUGUGAGUGUCGACGCAGCAUCGACAGAACCUCGGGGUGGAAUGACUCUGUCGUGCUGUGAUGCGACGAUCGCCACCACACAGAGCACGACGACGCCUGCGCAGGCCUCUGCUGGGAUGCUCGAGUACUGGUACCACCUAUCGCAGGUGUACUUCCCCGACUCGUAUCUCGUGCCAUCCGUCGUGCUGACGGCGGAGUUUGAAAACCCUGGUGUGCCGCUGAAUGGGGUGAGCGGCCAACGCCUACCGUACACGGCCCUGCUCUACGAGUCGUUGGUCAAUCAGCACCCCGAAGUUGCCGCGGUCGUGAGGCGCGCUUCCGCUGCAGACGUGGAACGUGGCACUGAAGACGCAGGCUUGAAGGAGUCCCGGAAGUCGGCGGAGCGCCGAAGUUGUGUAGAUGCUCAGGGAGCGGUGCCAGUGCAGCAAGGCCUGGGUAGGAACCAGGAUAUAGCGCGGCCCUGUGCUUCUGCCGCCGCUCACACCUUUGACUCCUCAGAGAUCGAGGUGGACGAGGAGGACCUUGCGAUCGCGCGGUUCGUCGCAACCCACUCCUCGCCUAAGCACACGCAAGGGCGGUCCUUGUGGUACCAGGCUCAGGACGUGCUUGCCGCGGGUGGGGUGGUGGACGUGAACUCCGCUCCCGUCGAGGUGAUGAAGAAGUCGGCUGCGCUCUGGAUGGGACUGACGCAAGCCGGCGGCUCCGGGGUCCUGGAGCGCGGCAGUUUAGACAAAUUACCGGGCAAUGUGUUGUGCAAUGUGGAGUGCUUGAUGAAUCCGGAUGAGGCUCUUCGCCUGAUUUCCGCGCCCUUCGACCCCAUGUGAACCCGUUUGCCUGCUCUCAGAUAUGCGCAUGCCGCUGCGCAACCUGCGCCGUUGAAUGCCUCAUCGGAGGCCCCGUGUGUCGCGUACCUGCCCUCUCUCGUAUUUCCGCCUUUCGCGCAGUCACCCGUCCGUUCUUUGUUCCUCUCCUUUCCUCUUUCUUUGCUUUCCUCACGAGGGGAGGGGAGGGAGGCCCGUGGGGGCGUUUCCCAGCCAAGGGAAACACGAGAGAGUCAUGCAGGAAACGCAGAACCCCAUCGCAUUUUUUUGUUGCAUGCCAUACGUCGUGUACGUGCGUACGGAGAGAGGUGAGCGGCCCUGUCUCUGAUGCUUCGUGUGAGACUAGGCUGCUUCUCCGUCCAGAUCAUCUGCUCCCCUUUCCUUUCUCAGAAUGACGCUCCACACGACGUUACUCGCAAACGCACCGAGUUCUCCCCACCCCCUACCUGUCCUUCUUCCCUCACCUGCAGCGCACUUCUCUCUUUCGCCGCUAUCUCGCCCUCUCUCUGUCUUAUUCGUCUGUGUGCGUAUGCGUGCCCUCUUUUUUCUUCCGGUGUGGUUGCGUUUGUCAAUCCUUUCGUGCCGCUGCGGCUGCUGCUCCGAACACCCCCUUUUGCCCCUCCCACCUUCGCCUCCCCUCUCUCUCUGACUUGCGAAGCGUUUGCAGGCAACACCGUCUAGGCCUGCUACCCUGCUUCCCAUCGUUUUACCCUCUUUCUGCUUUCUGCUUCUCGUCGCGCUUGCCACGGACUUGCCGUUCGUUGUCUUUCGUCUCGCUUUUUCAAGUCUGGACGUAUUUUCCACCCCCGCCGCUUUCUGCGUCGGUGCCGCGCUCCUCCUCCUCUGCGCGCCACACCACCGACACCUUUCUUUUUUUUUUGUGCCUUUCGCCCAUCCCACCCUCUGACCCGCCUCACCGCGUCUCAUGCCAGCGCCGCUUUAUGUUCCAAACCAGCUUCACCACCGAUAACGCCGCUUUCACUUCACGGCGCGCGGUGCGCCACGCUGGCACUGUUAGCACAAAGACUGGGAAGGGGGUGCGCUCUCUCUCCAUCUUUUCGUAUAGGAGCCUGUGCGCUUCAGCGUGGUGGUGCUCGCUGCUCUCUCACGACGGUCAUUCCCUGCGUCCUCUUGCCGUCCACUUAAAUUUUCAUUUUCGGCACUCUCAUGCGCUCAGCAUUUCCAAGGGAGGAUGGAGGAGUGCGAAAAGAGACGGGGUCCAGCGCUGAAGGCGCGGCGUGUGCGAGUGUGCCUAGCGCGAGGAGCUGACUUCUCCGAGGAGUCGCCUACUUCUCUCUCUGUUCCUUUGUUCUUGUGAUUCUCGUGAGAGCUGUUCUCACGCGUGCUGCACGCGCUUCCCCUAUUGGGGGUGUACGGCUGCCCCUCCCCCCUCCUGUGACAUGGACGGAAGUGGAAGGUGAAGACGGCGGGCCCUCCAGAUAACCACGCCGCCCUGAAAUAGGCCCUAUGGUACGAGAAUGCGAGCACGGUGCGCAGGCGCUGCCAUGCACAGCUGGCACGGUGUUCUGCAUCGAAGCGAAGCGCCCAGAGCUGAGAAGGGCAAGAGUGACCGGCGAGCGAGGCGCGAGGAGACCCGCACCAAUCAGCCCCCCGUGCAUGUGUGCGAAGUAUGCAGCAUCACCUGCGUCCGACCGUGUGGGCUGAUGAGGCACCGGUGCUGGGAGCAUGGCGAGAACAUGCCGACGCACAGCAUCGGGCCCCCCAGACUCCAACGUAACGAGUGUCCACACCGUCUUGUGGAAUGCCGCGGCUUGAAGCGAUUCAGAGGGAGCAGCAUGGUACACAGGCAGAGCGCAGGGUCUCCUCGGUCCCUGGCCUGAAGCUGGCCGACUUCCUCCUUGGGCUCGUCCGGCAUGCGCCCGGACCAACCACUGCUACCCGCCCGACAGACGCCGCCGCUGGUGCCGCUCGAGCAGGGCUCUGAGCGCGGCCCGCUUGGAUGGCGGCGUGCAGCGCACGCGCGACGAAGGGAUGCGGAAGGACGAGACGAGCCCGUCAGCCGCAGCGCGACCGCGGGAGGCGGACGGCUCAUCCUGGGCGACGCGGAUGGUAUCCGUGGCGCCCCAGUGUUGGGUGGACUGUGGCUGCAUACGUGUAUUCGCUGACUUUUUUCUGGUCGCAUGGGUACGCCAUGGAGCUUAAAAUUACCAAAGAAGGGGGAUUGCUUAGCCCAUGAAACAGACACAUACAGACACGCACCCAAAGCAUUAAUAACACGAAGGGAGAUGAGCUAGCCGUCAGAUGCAUCGCCCAGUUUGAGAAGUACGCCGUUAUUUGUGUGCACGUGCUCGCGCAUGUUUGCGUGCGUGCGGGAGAGGCGUUUGACACGUCCAUCGCGUGGGCGCGUGCGCGCAGUAUCCCACUCAGCGCCCACCUCGAACACGUUUGGAGUGGAGAUGCGCAUUGGCAAGCGCGUAAUGGGCAGCAGAGGGCCGGCAGCGUUUUUCUUUCACCUGUUCCUCCUCUGUCUCUGUAUGUGUGUGCGUGGUGUCGGCAUGCUGGCCGUCCAAUGUCGCCGUCACCGCCCCUGCCGACACCGAAGGGGCCGCGUACCGCUCUCCCUCAUGGGGUGUUGCAUCUUCGACCCCUUUUGUACGUGCGCG